This 440-nucleotide ribosomal RNA is filed under the name uncultured bacterium. RNAcentral describes it as "partial 16S ribosomal RNA". It matches the Rfam family "Bacterial small subunit ribosomal RNA", at positions 338 to 795 of the family's 1533-position model. The record is from RNAcentral.
CCUACGGGAGGCAGCAGUAGGGAAUCUUGCACAAUGGGGGAAAGCCUGAUGCAGCGACGCCGCGUGAGGGAAGAAGUUUUUCGGUAUGUAAACUUCUAUUAGCAGGGAAGAAAGUGACGGUGCCUGACUAAGAAGCCCCGGAUAACUACGUGCCAGCAGCCGAGGGAAUACGUAGGGGGCAAGCGUGAUCCGGAUUUACGGGGUGUAAAGGGAGCGUGGGCGGUGAUGCAAGUCAGAAGUGAAAGCCCGGGGCUCAACUCCGGGAGUGCAUUUGAAACUGGAUGGCUAGAUUGCAGGAGAGGCAAGUGGAACUCCGAGUGUAGCGGUGAAAUGCGUAGAUAUUAGGAAGAACACCAGUGGCGAAGGCGGCUUGCUGGACUGUAAAUGACGCUGAGGCUCGAAAGCGUGGGGAGCAAACAGGAUUAGAUACCCUUGUAGUC